Molecule: ribosomal RNA, 463 nt
Filed under: Vreelandella stevensii
Lineage: Bacteria; Pseudomonadati; Pseudomonadota; Gammaproteobacteria; Oceanospirillales; Halomonadaceae
Description: partial 16S ribosomal RNA
Rfam family: Bacterial small subunit ribosomal RNA
Source: RNAcentral
CCUACGGGAGGCAGCAGUGGGGAAUAUUGGACAAUGGGGGCAACCCUGAUCCAGCCAUGCCGCGUGUGUGAAGAAGGCCUCGGGUUGUAAAGCACUUUCAGUGAGGAAGAACGCCUGGUGGUUAAUACCCAUCAGGAAAGACAUCACUCACAGAAGAAGCACCGGCUAACUCCGUGCCAGCAGCCGCGGUAAUACGGAGGGUGCGAGCGUUAAUCGGAAUUACUGGGCGUAAAGCGCGCGUAGGUGGCUUGAUAAGCCGGUUGUGAAAGCCCCGGGCUCAACCUGGGAACGGCAUCCGGAACUGUCAAGCUAGAGUGCAGGAGAGGAAGGUAGAAUUCCCGGUGUAGCGGUGAAAUGCGUAGAGAUCGGGAGGAAUACCAGUGGCGAAGGCGGCCUUCUGGACUGACACUGACACUGAGGUGCGAAAGCGUGGGUAGCAAACAGGAUUAGAUACCCUAGUAGU